Gastrolobium bilobum is the source of this 3654-nucleotide RNA transcript. It is a transcript of the gene named phosphatidate phosphatase PAH2-like, with no coding region annotated. The record is from RefSeq and is a predicted model, not a curated record. NCBI's taxonomy places the organism in Eukaryota, Viridiplantae, Streptophyta, Magnoliopsida, Fabales, Fabaceae. The transcript has 11 exons.
AUGAAGAAGCGUGAAGCAAGCAGGAUGGAUAGAUUGAUCCAACGGUGUGACAAGAGCCAAGCAAUUUCAAAAGCGGGCCCCACGGCAAGCCACGUGUAACUGUUGUUGUUCUUUUUUUUCUUCACCACCAAGUCGUCCUCGUCCGGGGCUUCUCGGAGACACGCCAUCCUUCACCUCACCUUAACAUCGGACACUUUAAUAUAAGAACGAUUCAAUUAAUCUAAUUUGGAUAUUGUUAAAUAUCCAUCUGUUCACCGUUUUAAUUACUGUUGGCCUUUGGUACAUUCGAAUAUCCUUUCAUAACUCAGGUUUUCCCUCUUUCUCAUUCACGUUUCUGGAUUGGGAUUGAGAACCGAUCGGGUUCUUAUAUCGUGGUUGGUUUCGUUUCAGUGUUAUGAAACCAAGAUUGGAUUUUUUGAACAGAAAUAUAAUAUAAUAGAAUAGAAUAGAAUAGAAUAAUUGUGGAGGAUGCAAGCGGUUGGGAGGCUCGGCAGCUAUAUAAGCCAGGGUGUGUACACAGUUUCAGGUCCGUUUCAUCCUUUCGGUGGCGCCGUUGAUAUUGUGGUGGUGGAACAGCGUGAUGGGAGCUUCAAGUCCUCCCCUUGGUAUGUCCGAUUUGGCAAAUUCCAAGGGGUUUUGAAGGCAAGGGAAAGAGUGGUCGAUAUCAAUGUCAAUGGCGUGGAUGCUAGUUUCCAAAUGUAUCUGGAUCAUAAAGGGGAAGCUUUCUUUCUCAGAGAAAUCGAUACACAAGAACAAGAAGAAGAAGAAGAUUCCAGUUUGAUGUAUCCAUAUUCUUCUGGCGAUGACACGGACGAUCAAUCUCUCAAGUCCAGAAGUUGUUACUCCGAUUCACAUAAUGGAGAGGUUGUUGUGUCCAGGUCUAGUUCUCGCCGCUCCCGAAUACUUGGCCUUGUAUUUGGAGGAAGGUCUUUGAAGGGGCAAGUUGAAGAUGGUGAUGGAAAUAGGGAAGAUUCAUUGGAGCGUGCUGAGAUUGCAGCCAACUUGUUGGACCUCAAGUGGUCUACCUCUGGUAAAUACAGACAAAAUAUUCUUGCUACCUCUUCUGGGGCUGAUAACAUUCCCUUGGACAAUGGCUCAUUGCACCAAGGUGAGGCACAGGAUGGUGAACGUGACCCUAAUGAAAAGGAAGUUUCGUGUGUGGAGCUUGAAUCACGCAUUGAAAAGCAGUUUAAUGGAGAGGAGGUUUCCGGUUUAAGCACUGUUGUUGAUGCACCGGGUAAUGAUAUUUCUGAGGAGGACAUUUCACCAGAUGGAGCUCAUUCUCUAGUUUACUCCGAUGCAUCAGAGUGUUCCAAAGUGGGCUUGGAUUGUUCUAGUGAACAAGCUCACGAUGUGAUGCACCUUGCUGGCGGAGGAUGUGAAGUCUGUGUCCAUGAUGAUGAAGUCUUGCAUGGUGCAACUGUACUGCUAUCUGAGGGUACAGAAACUGAGGAUGUCACUAAGAAUGCUGAUCUUGGGAUGCCAGUAAUGGAGGUCUCUGAGUCUCAUUCUCAGGCUCAACAAACAGAUUGUACUGAUUCUGAUCGUAGUAUGUACGAUGUGAUGGAUGUUGAAGACCUACCAACAUCUCCAAAAUCUCAAACUGUCAAUAUGCACCUAGGACAUUGUUCAACUGAGAAAGUUGAGUCGAACUAUGUUACCAAACCUUCCAGUUACAACGGCCAGGAUGAUCAAACCUUAGACGAGAAUAAUAUGAGGGACAAAGAUAUCUCUAUCACGUUAUCAUCUCCUCCGGACUAUCUUGGUGAUUGUUUACCCGGAAAAGCAACUAGAUCACCAUCACCAAGUUCAGAGGAAGAAAACUUCCAUUUUAGUGACCUUGAUGAAAGCAGAGCCAAUGAUCAAUUUGAGGGAUCAUUCUCCCCGGAAUAUGUAGAUAAAGAAGAUGAUCUUUCUUAUGAGAAUGACACCGAAAAGUUAAGAGUUAUAUCCAGUCCCAUAGUUAUCCCUAGAAAUGAGGCUGCUGAGGAGGUAGUUGAGCAGCACAUAAUAUCGUUACCAAAUAUUUCUUCUUGUAGUGACAGCCUGGGCCAACAUGUUGUUUCUUAUCCAUUAAGUCAAUCUCUGGACUCAAAAUCCGCUUCUUUGCUGUGGACAUGUCCUGACAAAGAUGACUUGAAAUGUCAAAAAUCAGAUGAAGUCAAAGAAAACCAGUUAUCACAUGAGGAGCCAGGUGCCCACGAUUACCAUAAUUCUGAGGAGUUCGAGAGUACUGUUCUGAAGCUUCCCCUUGGAGAUCCGUCAAUUCACAACCCUUCCCCUGAUGGAAAUUGGAGAAUGUGGCCUUUCUCCAGAUCAAGAUCUAGAAAAGCUAUGCUGCCUAUUCCAAGGGAUGCCAAAAAUACCACUUUUGAUAAUUCUUCAGAGAAUAUGAUUAGCACAGAUGGGUACAAAAGUGUGCAUAGAUCCAAUCUAAUGAAAAAGAAGGUAACGGGAAAAACUCCAACUUCUGAACAGCUAGCAUCCUUGAAUCUGAAGGAAGGGAGGAACACUGUAACCUUCACUUUCUCUACAGCUGUGCUGGGGAAGCAGCAGGUUGAUGCUCAAAUAUAUUUGUGGAAAUGGAACACUCGUAUAGUGAUCUCAGAUGUGGAUGGGACAAUUACAAGGUCAGAUGUUCUUGGUCAGUUCAUGCCUUUGGUUGGAAUUGACUGGUCACAGACAGGGGUUACACAUUUUUUCUCCGCUAUCAAGGAGAAUGGUUACCAACUGCUUUUUCUCAGUGCUCGUUCAAUAUUCCAGGCCUAUCUUACACGACAGUUCCUAUUCAACCUUAAACAGGAUGGGAAGGUUUUACCAGAUGGUCCUGUUGUUAUUUCUCCCGAUGGACUUUUUCCCUCUCUAUAUCGCGAAGUCAUUAGGAGGGUUCCUCAUGAAUUCAAAAUUGCAUGCUUGGAGGACAUCAAGGCUCUUUUUCCUUCUGAUUGCAAUCCAUUUUAUGCUGGUUUUGGAAAUAGGGAUACUGACGAAAUCAGCUACCUUAAGGUUGGAAUCCCUAAAGGAAAAAUCUUCAUAAUCAAUCCCAAGUUUGCAGGGAGAGAUUGCUGUAAACCGUUGUCUUGACACAAAAUCAUAUACUUCUCUGCAUGCUCUGGUGAAUGGAAUGUUCCCCCUUGCGAACUCUUCUGAGCAGGAGGAUUUCAAUUCUUGGAAUUACUGGAAGCUAUCCCCUUUUGGUAUAGAUAUUUGAAAGCCUCAAUUAUCUUGAUCUGGAUAUGGAUGGGUGCAAGCUGUGCUGCUCCUAGAAUUAUAUGGGUAAAUUUAUUUUCAGCUCCUAAUAAUCUGUUCAGACUCCACAAUUUAGUUUUAGUUAUUAAAUACUUGAUAUUUUUUUAAUGGGUUUUUUAACUCGAGUGUUCCUUUCUUUCAAUCAUAAUUUUCUUAGGGAAAUGUCUUUAUACUUUUCUAAGAUAAUCGUUUCAAUAUUCCUACUGGAACUGGGGGUAUGGAAGAUAUUAUUAAUGUGACUAAUCUUGAAGAAGCUAUGCAACAGAAGUUAGAACUCGGACAUUACAGAUGAUAGCAAGUCCGAGUUCUAAACUUCUACUGUCUUGGACCUCUUCAUAAAAAAUUAGAGCAUUAUCGUAUGCUAUGACGGUGUGUGUAUUUGGGCCGCUGUAUGUGCAAUUGUAA